Molecule: long non-coding RNA, 266 nt
Organism: Saccostrea echinata
Lineage: Eukaryota; Metazoa; Mollusca; Bivalvia; Ostreida; Ostreidae
Exons: 3
Source: RefSeq, a predicted model, not a curated record
AUGUCAAUGUUUUCUUGUCUGUUUUUCCUUCUCGUUGGAUUGCUACUAUGCACUGGGUGUGGGAUCUACAUAUUUCAGCUGUUAGACUGGUACAUUGCAGCCUUUUGUUUACCUCUCUUUGGAGUGAUUGAAUGUUUAAUUUUUGGCUGGAUUUAUGGGGCAGAUAACUUGUCACGUGACAUUGAAAUGAUGAUUGGAAGAGGUGUACCUAUUUAUAUGAGGAUUUUGUGGUGUGUAAUUACACCCCUCCUUUUAGUGGUGCGUUU